Molecule: ribosomal RNA, 704 nt
Filed under: Oerskovia sp. L1911
Lineage: Bacteria; Bacillati; Actinomycetota; Actinomycetes; Micrococcales; Cellulomonadaceae
Description: bacterial SSU rRNA
Rfam family: Bacterial small subunit ribosomal RNA
Source: RNAcentral
UCAGGACGAACGCUGGCGGCGUGCUUAACACAUGCAAGUCGAACGGUGAUGCCCAGCUUGCUGGGCGGAUCAGUGGCGAACGGGUGAGUAACACGUGAGUAACCUGCCCCAGACUCCGGGAUAAGCCUUGGAAACGAGGUCUAAUACUGGAUACGAGACGCCCCUGCAUGGGGAGUGUCUGGAAAGAUUUAUCGGUCUGGGAUGGACUCGCGGCCUAUCAGCUUGUUGGUGGGGUAAUGGCCUACCAAGGCGACGACGGGUAGCCGGCCUGAGAGGGCGACCGGCCACACUGGGACUGAGACACGGCCCAGACUCCUACGGGAGGCAGCAGUGGGGAAUAUUGCACAAUGGGCGAAAGCCUGAUGCAGCGACGCCGCGUGAGGGAUGAAGGCCUUCGGGUUGUAAACCUCUUUCAGCAGGGAAGAAGCGCAAGUGACGGUACCUGCAGAAGAAGCGCCGGCUAACUACGUGCCAGCAGCCGCGGUAAUACGUAGGGCGCAAGCGUUGUCCGGAAUUAUUGGGCGUAAAGAGCUCGUAGGCGGUUUGUCGCGUCUGGUGUGAAAACUCAAGGCUCAACCUUGAGCUUGCAUCGGGUACGGGCAGACUAGAGUGCGGUAGGGGUGACUGGAAUUCCUGGUGUAGCGGUGGAAUGCGCAGAUAUCAGGAGGAACACCGAUGGCGAAGGCAGGUCACUGGGCCGCAAC